This 406-nucleotide ribosomal RNA is filed under the name uncultured bacterium. RNAcentral describes it as "partial 16S ribosomal RNA". It matches the Rfam family "Bacterial small subunit ribosomal RNA", at positions 29 to 526 of the family's 1533-position model. The record is from RNAcentral.
AUUGAACGCUGGCGGCAGGCCUAACACAUGCAAGUCGAACGAGUGGCGGACGGGUGAGUAAUGUCUGGGAAACUGCCCGAUGGAGGGGGAUAACUACUGGAAACCGUAGCUAAUACCGCAUACCAUCGGAUGUGCCCAGAUGGGAUUAGCUAGUUGGUGGGGUAACGGCUCACCAAGGCGACGAUCCCUCGCUGGUCUGAGAGGAUGACAAGCCACACGGGAAAGGAGACACGGUCCAGACUCCGACGGGAGGAAGCAGUGGGGAAUAUGGCACAAUGGGCGAAAGCCUGAUGCAGCCAUGCCGCGUGUAGGAAGAAGGCUUUCGGGUUGUAAAGGACUUUCAGCGAGGAGGCGUUACUCGCAGAAGAAGCACCGGCUAACUCCGUGCCAGCAGCCGCGGUAAUAC